This 245-nucleotide long non-coding RNA is filed under the name Hordeum vulgare. RNAcentral's name for it is "long non-coding RNA (HVUL_LNC012946)". The record is from RNAcentral. Lineage: Eukaryota; Viridiplantae; Streptophyta; Magnoliopsida; Poales; Poaceae.
CGUUGUCUUCGUUGUUGUUGUUGUUGUUGUUGUUGUUGUUGUUGUUGUUGUUGUUGAUAUCAUUGUUGUCGUUCUUGUCGUAGUUUUUGUUGUUGUCGUGCUUCUCAUCAUUGUCGUCGUUGUCAUCGUCGUCGUUGUUGUUGUUGUUAUUGUUGUUGUUGUUGUUGUUGUUGUAGUAGUAGUAGUAGUAGUAGUAGUAGUAGUAGUAGUAGUUGUAGUAGUAGUAGUAGUAGUAGUAGUAGUUG